AUGCCUUAAACUAAUGAGUAAGGAAAAUAAAAAGCUUGGUUGGUUCCAGGCUUCUGAUUAACAUAUCAGAUGAAUUUCUUCAGGGGUACAGGUCGCCCCUGGGUGACCUUCCUACUUUGAGGGAUGCCCUUGUGUAGUGAUCUGCCCC
Patella vulgata (common limpet) is the source of this 148-nucleotide small nuclear RNA. RefSeq annotates it as U12 minor spliceosomal RNA. NCBI's taxonomy places the organism in Eukaryota, Metazoa, Mollusca, Gastropoda, Patellidae. The transcript has a single exon. The record is from RefSeq and is a predicted model, not a curated record.